GUGACAAACAACUAUUGCAUCGUUGAGCAAUUGGCAUACCAAAAUUGACUUGUUCUCUUAAAGGUAACUGUAAAGAUCACACCAACAAGACUUAAUAGCAUCCCAUUAACGUAAAUGUUGAAAAGACAACAGUUGAAAGAGCUUAUUGCAGAUGAAAGAAAUGUUUCAUUCUAUAGCAAGUAUUCCGUUGGAUGAUUAAAAUUCUUUAACGUCCCAUCCUUUCAUUUUGGUGCCUUAUGUUGGAUGUGGUUGCUGAUAUGGCCAAAUCUGGGCAGC
RNAcentral lists this unclassified non-coding RNA (276 nucleotides) under Hevea brasiliensis (rubber tree). Lineage: Eukaryota; Viridiplantae; Streptophyta; Magnoliopsida; Malpighiales; Euphorbiaceae. The record is from RNAcentral.